Labrus mixtus (cuckoo wrasse) is the source of this 5978-nucleotide long non-coding RNA. RefSeq lists it as uncharacterized. NCBI's taxonomy places the organism in Eukaryota, Metazoa, Chordata, Actinopteri, Labriformes, Labridae. The transcript has 2 exons. The record is from RefSeq and is a predicted model, not a curated record.
AAUAAAAAUGACGACGAGCAAUCAACUAAGAAGAAGUAAUGGAGUAUAAAUCUCAUAACAAAGUGAAGUGUUUGUUUUUCCACACAGAACAUUAGGGUUAACAGGCUGGCUUCCUGGCAUGUAAACAGCCUUUAUUGUUAGAAAGCUGUUGAAUAUUUCUUGGUAUAAUAGAUGUAGUGCCAAACACAAACUUUAGCCCUUUUCUAAGACAACUUAUUCAUUUCGUGGCCAAAGUGUUUCUCAUUAAAUUGUAUUCCUGCAAUUAGUCAUGCAGUUGAAGGGAGCCGCUACAAGCUCACAAUCCUUUGGUGACAAUAGUUUUUAAUGAGGUCAGUGUUUUGUGUUGUCGACUGUUGCGUGAUAUAGGCUUCCUCCAUCAAAGUGCACUAGUUGGUGAUUUUCUAUUUUUGCAGGGAUUUCAAAGAGCCAGCCAGGUUGCUGUGGUUACAAAAAAAAGGGACGUCUGGGCCCGCAGCAUCGCACAGGUGGGACACUUGCGGGCCAUCUUGCUGUCCAGGCUGCGGUGCGUCUGCUUGUGUCUGCUGAGGUUGGAAGAGGUGGCGUACGUCUUGCCACACUCGUUGCAGGUGUGGCGAGCCGUGCCGGCUACCCCUCUCUCCUGAGCCCCGCCGUUGGCGCUGCUGCUUCUAGAGCCCCCUCCCCGACUCUCGCUGUCUCCCUUCCGCCUCGAUCGCCCGUCAGAGAUGAAGAAGGCAUCCAUGGUGUAACCCUCGGCCAGGGCCUCUGAUUCACCACUGUAGAAGCCGCUGGCCGUCAUGCCAGACUGCGGGCUGUCGGGGUGCUUCAGGUCGGGGUCGCAGUACUCCCCUCCACUGCUCACCUGAGUGUAGAGGGGGUCUGACACCGGCGAGGCCAGCUUGUGCUCCAUCUUCUUCUCCUCCUGGUAUACAGAUGGCGUGAUGUAAUCCUGGAUGUAGCCUGGGUAAGAGACACACGCAAACACAGUUGGCCAGGGGUUGUGAUGGAUAAGGACAUAGUGACAUGCUGCUGAUUACAUGAUUAUCAUGCUGGAUGAACGCCCUGCACGGAAACGGUGAAAAAGUGAGUGGCAGCACAGAGGUAAUUGCAUUUUUUUUGAGAACUCACAGGUUGUACGCACAAUCUGGAAGUGAUGCAGGGAGGCAUGACACACUCUGCUGCGUUCAGGAAGGUUGAAAUUUUACAAUGAGGCUGAACGUUAGAUAAUAGCUCAUCAAGGAAUUCUCCUGUGUAAGAAGAUGCAUAUUAAAGCCCCUCUUAAAUAAAGUAGUCUUAUUAAUGACAGCUUCCUUUCCUCAUGUCAGUUCUCUAUCGCUGAGGUCUGUCUUCAUGUUUGUUUACCAUAACCUGAAACCUUGACAGAUGUCCACACUUUUUAUUUUGUCGUUUUUCUUUAAAAACACAUCCCACAACAUUUAUCUCUAAACAGAUGUUUCUUUUUUCCACAUUGCAACAAAUACCUGAUUUUGUAGGACCAGAUAAACUUGUUACAUAGCUGCUUACAUCCUGUAGGAUUUCAUCUCACUUCUCAAAGCACAAAGCACCACAAGUCAUUUCAAUGCGUCCAACUGCAUAGAACAUGAUUUCAGAGAGAUAUAUUUCUGUUGGCCUCAUUCAUGUCUUUUCUUUCCCUCCCAAGCAGCCCGGUGCCAGAGGAGCUAAAAGGCUUCCUGGCAGCUAACAACACUCAAUACAUUCUUAUGCUGUGAAUAUCAGGAGCGUAAUAAAUACUAUACGCAUUCACCUCCAGGGCUGAUAUUCUAUAGGCUCAACAUGUGAGUGCAAAUGUAAAAUAAAGUGAAACUCUUUUCUUGAGAGAAAUAGUGCAUAGCUGCAGAAAAAAAAAGCCAUCCCUAAGCAGUGUGUGCAGCAAGCGGUGGAAAUUAGUUAUUGACUGCUUUUUAAUGAAAUUCAAAGUUUAGAAGUGAUCAAUAGGCUAUCAUAUGUAAAAUAGUGCAGCUGUUACAGCAGCCGAGCAGGGGAGAAGAUAGAAAUAGUGCGAUGAACAGAUCAAGUAUCUGAGACACACAAUUAUAGUUUGUCGAGGACAGUGUGCUUGAAGCCUGAUAAUGUCAGACAUGGCUUUAAACACAUUGUUUGUGAAGAGGGUCACCUGUGUACCAGCGGAGAGCACGCUGAAGAGCCUCCAAGAAACAGCCCAUUAAGAAAUCAGUUGAAGUGCUCUCUUACUACAGGGGUCUCCAUUCCCAAAGGGGUUCUGUUCACACACGCACUUUGUCAAAGACAUGACCAUGACAACCCGGGGACAGGGAAGCACCAGGUCUGUGCACACAGCACUCCACCGCACUGCAUGAGGUCACAGAUUGUGUUUGUCUGAGAGAGAUCAACAUUUUCUUUCUAAAACUGAAGAGAAGCUAUUUAUCCUUUCUAAAAGGAAAUACCUACCUAAUCAAUUUAACAAAUGCUGCAGCUCUCGCAGCUAAAUCCACCUGAAGGGUCUCUGUACUUCAUGCCGUGUAUGGUCUUUUAUUCCGCUGUUGUUGUUUUUCCACAUAACAAACUGUAUCAGUGUAAGCAGCAUUGUUUACUUUGCUUCAAUCAUCCAAGGUCAGACACAGAGCUCAUCAUUCAGGACCUGCGCUGUAUCAGCCUUUACAGCUCAUGGACUCACUCCUCUAAUGCAAAGUAAGCAUGUAAUUAAUGGACCCUCUCAGCCACCCAUCUUUGUUGUUCCACAGACACUCAAGUCAAAUGUCUCCACAAUGGGGGGAAAGGAAAUCUGCUGGCGCUGCAGAAGUGCUGAUGCCGGGUAUUUCUGCCAUACUGAGAAUUCUUUUAUAUUUUAUCCUUUUGACUCAGCAUGAAAAUAAUCUUUUGUUGAAAUGAACUGCCUUUUUUUGAAACACCAGUGUUGCGCGCUACCUUCUUUUCUGCUCUUUGAUAGAAUGCUUAUGUUGCAUGGUGUUGAACAAUAGACCGAGGAACAAUAGAGAAUAACUGUGAUUAUAAGAAUUGAUUGUUCUCCUGAAAAUAUAAAUCUAUGAUUCAGCAGGAAAUGUAAACAGCGUUGAUUUCAAGCUGCAAAAUGUGCCUGGUAAGCAAAUAGGAAACACAUGUUUUUAUUUCUUGCUUUAAAUUCUUUGAUCUGUACCCAGUUAGCUGGUUUUAAUUCAGCAGUUAAACAUUUCCAACCAGCACAGGAAUCUUUGCUAUUCCACUAAAACCUGAUGCAUCUAAAAUCCACUCGGCCUUGUUAUAGAAGCGGUUGAAUAACAGGUGGGCAGCAUCAUCACAACACUAAGCUGUGAUCUGUGAAGCCUCUCUCGCUGUGGAAAUAACCUGACAAAGCACAACAAAGACACACAUAUGGUCCCUGAAUGUGGCCACAAAAUGGAAGCAGCGAGCUUAAAGCAGAGCGUGAAAGUGAAGGUCGCCUCUCAGCUCAGACCGGAGCUUCCUGUGGCCGGACCGCCGUGUGCUGACCACAGUGCAGCUAUGUGCCUUUCUUCAUGUUUACUGUACAACCUCCAUCACGUGAUCUGCCUCACUGCUGCCCCAAGCAUUUUUGUCUCCCUUUUUCUCCUUCCCUUCGCUCCCCACCUCCCUCCCGGCCGUACUGUACACUGUGCUGAUGUCUCUUGUGGCGACGAUAGGCCUGCACGGCUGAAACUCUAACCCCUGCUAGUUUUUUUUUUUCGAAUGCCCGGAAGGAAGAGAAAGAUGUAGUGGAGUGAUGGGGGUGGGGAGACUGUGCAUGCUCCAUUUGGAUGGGAAGAGGGGGGCAAGGGAGGAUCGGACGGUGAUGGGAACUCAAGGACAAUAACAGCUAAGGACAAAUGUAUCAUCUGAUACUCAUCUCUCAUAUUCAUGAAUUUUUUAGUCCACAUGAGGGCCAGAUAUAGUCAGCGUAUGUGUGUUCAGCCGACACAGCAAUGGUACAGUCAUACAAAUACGUAACUGGAGCUUCUCCUGAUUAUACACACGUUUUGUUCCCUAUUUACAUAAGCUAAUCCGCGGCUGUGACCUGAAUUGUGUCUGUCCUUCACUGGAGUCAAAAAACAAAAGUCUGGGAGCAGGGUGGUGGGGGUGGGGUGCCUCUGGAGAGGAUUAUUUAGGAUAUUAAUGCAAAAAUCAGCUGGCAGCAUGUUACGUCUCGCACUAAUUUACACACUACGAGCAUGUUAUUGGCUCGAGCAAAAGAAAAUCUCACCCGAUGCAAAAACAAAAGACGAUGCCAUCUGUGCUAAGUGUGGAAAUGUCAGGCAUGCUGAAACCAGCAUCAGAGCUGUAGCGCUAACAAAUCUUUUACUGGGAAGACUGCAGGCAUGUUAACUCACCAUUCUCACUAAGACGGACCCCAAGGCUGGUCACCGAGUCUGUGAUGGAGCGUGCAAAAGUGAACGAGUCGUCCAGGUGGUGAUGAUGAUUGGAGGUGGCCACAUUGGACGAAGAGAAAUCAUCAAGCUUGAUCUUCUUCACCAAAAAUGAGCGGGGCAUGUUUCAAUGGAUAAAAACACAGAGCUGAGAAAAACGCAUGAGAGAAAAUAACGGAGACCCUCUGUGGAAGCACGCGUGCAGAGCUGGCUUGACGGUAAUCCUUGCGGUUAAUGUGGAGACAACGGCCAAAAACAUAAGAUAAGAAAGAAAAUGGAAACCAGUGAAGAACAAGGCUGACGGCAAUGCUGUGUGAUACUCUCUGGCUCCCCCAGCUUCCCCCGGAAAAAUAAAAAAAUAAAAAAUAAAAGCGAUCCUGUUCAGCACUGGAUAGCUCCUGUGAUGCAGCAGGCUUAAGGGACCAGUGAGAAAGAGAAGAGAUGGAGACAGACAGAGAGAGGAGGGAGAGAGAGACUGUCAGACUAGCUGAGAUCAGCAAUCACGCCAGCCUUUAUAUGGGGCACAGGCAGUGGAAGAUCAGGUGGUGCUGCGAAAUGGAGCUGCUUAGCUUUAAUCCAUCAAAUGUCCCCGGGGACACACAUCAAAUUACUACUGAACCGUCUGUGCAUUCGCACACAGACAGAGGAGAAAGAACACAGCCAGACCCCCACUGCCCCCACUGCUGCUCCCCCUUCCCCUCCCCUCUUUCACCCUGCCUAUGCUCCAUGCUCGGAGGAGGAGUAAAAGAGGAGGACAGACAAUGGAGAUGUGGAUGAGAGCACACUCAGUGUCCUGUCCCCCAUUGUUUUCAGAUGAAGUGGCACAGUUUAUGUUUGCCUUGUACAGGCGCUGCCUCCCUCAUGUCAUCUCUGUUACCUCAGACAGCCUCAGAUCUCUGGGCUCCUUCGCCACGCUGCGCCGUACACACACGCUGAGGGCACCCGUACAGUACAGGAGAGGUUAUCUGAGCGUCUGGGAGAGCUGGACCCUUUUAUUAAAGCUGCUCUGGAUUCCAGCAGUGUUGACGAGCGAGCUAUGGGGAAGCACCAGUGCUGAUCUGCUCGGCUGCUCUCGCUCCCUCCACAUUACGGCUGCACAGAUGUGUGUCCUGCCAUGCGUGGCAGUGAAUUAUCUGAUUAAUUAAUUACAUUUUUUUUGAUUAGGGUGAAAUCUAGAAUUAGAUCCAUGCUUGCUAAAUUGGCCAGCUAUCUCUGGGUUGGUUUGUAUUUGUGAGGAUUCAUUAGCUCACUUUAUUGAUGUUAUGCUACAUUAUACAUUUUAUUUUUUCAUUACAACUCCACGAUCGUUGUUCUCUUGUAAGGAUGAAUUAAAGAGAAAUAUUCAGACAGAAUCAUUAAAUCUCCCGGAUGGUCUGAAUGCAACAACUUACACUGAGGCAAAAAUGAUGCACCUGUUUGAUUCUCUAUCAACAGGAAACACUCAGCAUCACUUGUUCGAUUAAUUCAUGGGGACAGUAUUAAAUAAAAACAACAACUAUUAAAUAACAAAAUCUAGAACGGUUAUGUUUGCUUGUAUAAUAUGAUGAGGGAGUUAAAGCAUCCAAAUAGUGUAGAGACCAUGUGCAUUCUUUUCUGCUCCGUUUUGAAUUGGAGCUGUUACGGUGGUGGUGAAGUCAUCAUGGG